RNAcentral lists this ribosomal RNA (354 nucleotides) under Diapterus auratus (Irish mojarra). Its description in RNAcentral is "partial 12S ribosomal RNA". It matches the Rfam family "Bacterial small subunit ribosomal RNA", at positions 801 to 1360 of the family's 1533-position model. Lineage: Eukaryota; Metazoa; Chordata; Actinopteri; Gerreiformes; Gerreidae. The record is from RNAcentral.
AAACAUAAAUAGAACUUUACCUAUCUAUUCGCCCGGGUACUACGAGCAUUAGCUUGAAACCCAAAGGACUUGGCGGUGCUUCAGACCCCCCCUAGAGGAGCCUGUUCCAGAACCGACACUCCCCGUUUAACCUCACCCUUCCUAGUUUUUACCGCCUAUAUACCGCCGUCGCAAGCUUACCCUGUGAAGGUCUAAUAGUGAGCAUAAUCGGCACAGCCCAAAACGUCAGGUCGAGGUGUAGCUUAUGGAAGGGGCAGCAAUGGGCUACAUUCCCUAACACCAGGGAAUACGAAUACUACGUUGAAACACGUACUUGAAGGAGGAUUUAGCAGUAAGCAGCAAGCAGAGAGUCCC